Molecule: ribosomal RNA, 460 nt
Filed under: uncultured bacterium
Lineage: Bacteria
Description: partial 16S ribosomal RNA
Rfam family: Bacterial small subunit ribosomal RNA
Source: RNAcentral
CCUACGGGGGGCUGCAGUGAGGAAUAUUGGUCAAUGGACGAGAGUCUGAACCAGCGAAGUAGCGUGAAGGAUGACUGCCCUAUGGGUUGUAAACUUCUUUUAUAUGGGAAUAAAAUGUUCCACGUGUGGGAUUUUGUAUGUACCAUAUGAAUAAGGAUCGGCUAACUCCGUGCCAGCAGCCGCGGUAAUACGGAGGAUCCGAGCGUUAUCCGGAUUGAUUGGGUUUAAAGGGAGCGUAGGUGGAUUGUUAAGUCAGUUGUGAAAGUUUGCGGCGCAACCGUAAAAUUGCAGUUGAAACUGGCAGUCUUGAGUACAGUAGGGGUGGGCGGAAUUCGUGGUGUAGCGGUGAAAUGCUUAGAUAUCACGAAGAACUCCGAUUGCGAAGGCAGCUCACUGGACUGCAACUGACACUGAGGCUCGAAAGUGUGGGUAUCAAACAGGAUUAGAUACCCUUGUAGUC